Long non-coding RNA from Oncorhynchus keta (chum salmon), 1308 nucleotides. RefSeq lists it as uncharacterized. The transcript is spliced from 3 exons. NCBI's taxonomy places the organism in Eukaryota, Metazoa, Chordata, Actinopteri, Salmoniformes, Salmonidae. The record is from RefSeq and is a predicted model, not a curated record.
CACACACAUAAGGACUCAAAUCAAAUGUUAUUUGUCACAUGGUAAACAACAGGUGUAGACUAACAAUGAAAUGCUGACUGACGGGCCCUUCCCAACAAUGUAGAGAGAAAAAUAUAGAAAAGAUAAUAACACAAGGAAUAACGAUAACUUGGCUGUAUACACAAGGUACCAGUACUGAGUUGAUGUGCAGGGGUACGAGGUACCAGUACUGAGUUGAUGUGCAGGGGUACGAGGUACCAGUACUGAGUUGAUGUGCAGGGGUACGAGGUAAUGACUUGACUAUAUACACGAGGUACCAGUACUGAGUUGAUGUGCAGGGGUACGAGGUACCAGUACUGAGUUGAUGUGCAGGGGUACGAGGUACCAGUACUGAGUUGAUGUGCAGGGGUACGAGGUAAUGACUUGACUAUAUACACGAGGUACCAGUACUGAGUUGAUGUGCAGGGGUACGAGGUAAUAACUUGACUAUAUACACGAGGUACCAGUACUGAGUUGAUGUGCAGGGGUACGAGGUAAUAACUUGACUAUAUACACGAGGUACCAGUACUGAGUUGAUGUGCAGGGGUACGAGGUAAUAACUUGGCUGUAUACACAAGGUACCAGUACUGAGUUGAUGUGCAGGGGUACGAGGUAAUAACUUGACUAUAUACACGAGGUACCAGUACUGAGUUGAUGUGCAGGGGUACGAGGUAAUAACUUGGCUGUAUACACAAGGUACCAGUACUGAGUUGAUGUGCAGGGGUACGAGGUAAUAACUUGACUAUAUACACGAGGUACCAGUACUGAGUUGAUGUGCAGGGGUACGAGGUAAUAACUUGACUAUAUACACGAGGUACCAGUACUGAGUUGAUGUGCAGGGGUACGAGGUAAUAACUUGACUAUAUACACGAGGUACCAGUACUGAGUUGAUGUGCAGGGGUACGAGGUAAUAACUUGACUAUAUACACGAGGUACCAGUACUGAGUUGAUGUGCAGGGGUACGAGGUAAUAACUUGACUAUAUACACGAGGUACCAGUACUGAGUUGAUGUGCAGGGGUACGAGGUAAUAACUUGACUAUAUACACGAGGUACCAGUACUGAGUUGAUGUGCAGGGGUACGAGGUAAUAACUUGACUAUAUACACGAGGUACCAGUACUGAGUUGAUGUGCAGGGGUACGAGGUAAUAACUUGACUAUAUACACGAGGUACCAGUACUGAGUUGAUGUGCAGGGGUACGAGGUAAUAACUUGACUAUAUACACGAGGUACCAGUACUGAGUUGAUGUGCAGGGGUACGAGGUAAUAACUUGACUAUAUACACGAGGUAC